This 468-nucleotide ribosomal RNA is filed under the name uncultured bacterium. RNAcentral's name for it is "partial 16S ribosomal RNA". It matches the Rfam family "Bacterial small subunit ribosomal RNA", at positions 28 to 507 of the family's 1533-position model. The record is from RNAcentral.
GACGAACGCUGGCGGCGUGCUUAACACAUGCAAGUCGAACGGAAAGGCCCUGCUUUUGUGGGGUGCUCGAGUGGCGAACGGGUGAGUAACACGUGAGUAACCUGCCCUUGUCUUUGGGAUAACUUCAGGAAACUGGGGCUAAUACCGGAUAGGAGCUCCUGCUGCAUGGUGGGGGUUGGAAAGUUUCGGCGGUUGGGGAUGGACUCGCGGCUUAUCAGCUUGUUGGUGGGGUAGUGGCUUACCAAGGCUUUGACGGGUAGCCGGCCUGAGAGGGUGACCGGCCACAUUGGGACUGAGAUACGGCCCAGACUCCUACGGGAGGCAGCAGUGGGGAAUAUUGCGCAAUGGGCGGAAGCCUGAUGCAGCAACGCCGCGUGCGGGAUGACGGCCUUCGGGUUGUAAACCGCUUUCGCCUGUGACGAAGCGUGAGUGACGGUAAUGGGUAAAGAAGCACCGGCUAACUACGUG